AGGAAUCUUUGCUCUUUUAGUAAUUUUCAAGAAGGAUUUCAAAAAUGUGAAAUCCCCC
Molecule: small nuclear RNA, 58 nt
Organism: Gasterosteus aculeatus aculeatus (three-spined stickleback)
Lineage: Eukaryota; Metazoa; Chordata; Actinopteri; Perciformes; Gasterosteidae
Gene: U7
Rfam family: U7 small nuclear RNA
About the family: Animal histone pre-mRNAs are spliced by a different mechanism than nuclear pre-mRNAs and self-splicing introns.
Source: Ensembl